This 466-nucleotide ribosomal RNA is filed under the name uncultured bacterium. RNAcentral describes it as "partial 16S ribosomal RNA". It matches the Rfam family "Bacterial small subunit ribosomal RNA", at positions 28 to 507 of the family's 1533-position model. The record is from RNAcentral.
GAUGAACGCUGGCGGCGUGCUUAACACAUGCAAGUCGAACGAUGAAGCCCAGCUUGCUGGGUGGAUUAGUGGCGAACGGGUGAGUAACACGUGAGUAACCUGCCCUUAACUCUGGGAUAAGCCUGGGAAACUGGGUCUAAUACCGGAUAGGAGCGUCCACCGCAUGGUGGGUGUUGGAAAGAUUUAUCGGUUUUGGAUGGACUCGCGGCCUAUCAGCUUGUUGGUGAGGUAAUGGCUCACCAAGGCGACGACGGGUUGCCGGCCUGAGAGGGUGACCGGCCACACUGGGACUGAGACACGGCCCAGACUCCUACGGGAGGCAGCAGUGGGGAAUAUUGCACAAUGGGCGCAAGCCUGAUGCAGCGACGCCGCGUGAGGGAUGACGGCCUUCGGGUUGUAAACCUCUUUCAGUAGGGAAGAAGCGAAAGUGACGGUACCUGCAGAAGAAGCACCGGCUAACUACGUG